GCGGGCGUGCUGGAAUCGGCAGACAGGCAUGUUUGAGGGGCAUGUGAGAAUUUCUCGUAUGGGUUCAAGUCCCAUCGCCCGCACCA
Molecule: transfer RNA, 86 nt
Filed under: Tepidanaerobacter syntrophicus
Lineage: Bacteria; Bacillati; Bacillota; Clostridia; Thermosediminibacterales; Tepidanaerobacteraceae
Description: tRNA_Leu
Rfam family: tRNA
About the family: Transfer RNA (tRNA) molecules are approximately 80 nucleotides in length. Their secondary structure includes four short double-helical elements and three loops (D, anti-codon, and T loops).
Source: RNAcentral